Molecule: RNA transcript, 2100 nt
Organism: Bombus impatiens (common eastern bumble bee)
Lineage: Eukaryota; Metazoa; Arthropoda; Insecta; Hymenoptera; Apidae
Gene: AP-1mu
Gene name: AP-1 complex subunit mu-1
Exons: 3
Source: RefSeq, a predicted model, not a curated record
CAGGCCACUGGUACUCCACAGUGCUGCUGAAGCUAUUGGGAGGGGAGGGUUUUUCUGUCAAUAAAACCUCUUCUGUGAUUCUUCCAUAAGAGAAAUUCUUUUUUAUGUAAAUAAUUGAAACGUUAACAUUCCUGAACGAAUUGCCGGAACAUUAUAACAAAUUUUCAAGAUGUCGACGUCUGCGAUAUAUAUUUUAGACGUGAAGGGGAAGGUUUUGAUUUCACGAAAUUAUCGUGGAGACAUAGAAACGGGUGUUAUAGAAAAGUUCAUGCCUCUCGUAAUGGAACGCGAGGAGGAGGGCAAUCUUACUCCGAUCAUACAAACCACAGAAUGCACAUAUGCAUAUAUAAAGUACAAUAAUUUGUAUAUCGUAUCCACUACAAAGAAGAAUGCAAACAUUUCCUUAGUAUUUGUAUUCUUGCAUAAACUGGUGCAAGUGAUGCAAGAAUAUUUCAAGGAAUUGGAAGAAGAAAGCAUACGAGAUAAUUUUGUAGUCAUUUACGAGCUUCUAGAUGAAUUAAUAGAUUUUGGGUAUCCGCAAACUACCGAUAGUAAGAUAUUACAAGAGUACAUUACGCAGGAAGGACAUAAACUUGAAAUUCAACCGCGCAUUCCCAUGGCUGUGACUAAUGCUGUAUCCUGGAGAUCAGAAGGUAUAAAAUACCGUAAAAAUGAAGUGUUUCUAGACGUGAUAGAGUCUGUGAAUCUUCUUGCAAAUGCUAAUGGAAAUGUUUUAAGUUCUGAAAUUGUGGGUGCAAUAAAGAUGAGAGUUUAUUUGUCUGGAAUGCCAGAAUUAAGACUCGGUCUUAACGACAAAGUAUUAUUCGAAUCUACAGGCCGUGGGAAGUCCAAAUCUGUGGAAUUGGAAGAUGUGAAAUUUCAUCAGUGCGUCAGAUUGUCUAGAUUCGAGAACGACAGAACAAUUUCAUUCAUUCCUCCCGAUGGAGAGUUUGAAUUAAUGUCUUACAGACUGAAUACACACGUGAAACCUCUGAUAUGGAUCGAAUCUGUCAUUGAGAGGCAUGCCCACAGCAGGGUAGAAUACAUGGUAAAAGCGAGAUCGCAAUUUAAGAGACGUUCUACGGCCAACAAUGUAGAAAUAGUAAUCCCAGUACCCAACGAUGCAGACUCGCCCAAAUUUAAGACUACCAUCGGUAGUGUUAAAUAUUCACCAGAGCAGAGUGCAAUAACUUGGUUCAUUAAGUCGUUUCCUGGUGGUAAAGAAUAUCUGAUGAGGGCACACUUUGGUCUACCAUCUGUCAUUGGGGAAGACGUGGAAGGGAAGCCACCAAUUCAAGUAAAAUUUGAGAUUCCGUAUUUCACUACUUCUGGAAUCCAAGUGCGCUAUUUGAAAAUUAUAGAAAAGAGUGGGUAUCAGGCACUACCAUGGGUGCGGUAUAUCACGCAAAAUGGAGAUUACCAGCUGAGGACGAAUUAAACGUAAGAAAUUUAUGGAGGAAAAAGGCAGAAUGUUUGACACAUUACGUUAAUGUUAAUCAGAAAUGCAAAACUAGUCGGUUUGCUACGCUUGGUACGCUUCCGAACACAUUUACAAUUAAAUUUAUGGCAAGUUUCGGAAACGAUCGUGAUCCGUAUAAAAACUGAGAUUUUGUAGAGAAUGUAAAACUAGUGUUUGCGAUAUUGACUAAUUAUCGUCAUUGAUCUUUAUUCGAUACAGUAUAAUUAUAUAUUAGUAUAAUUUUAAUUCCUUUUGCUGUUUUGACACUUUAACAUUUUUUCCGUGUUUUUCAUGUUCUGUAUAUAAUUCUUUAAGAACACUUGCAGUAAUUUCUUCUCAUCGUACUAUAAACUAUGGAAAUGCAAAGUACGUACUUAAUUUACUAGUUGUAAUACGGUUUGAUCCUAUAUUAUAAAUAUGUAUUCCAAUGAAAUUAUCCAAUGUAAAAAAGAAACAGAAAAAUUGUAAAUAUAUAGAAAGUUAUAGUAUUUGAGUGUUUUCAUGGAAUUGUUAACGAAUUAAUAGGCGUUUCCCUGUACUAUCAUAAUCUGUAAUAGUAUUAUAGACUUAUUAUUGUAUGUCAGUAUGACAACGAAUAAUAAUAUUGUUUUUAUUGUAAUAAUAAUUUAAGAUACACAGAA